UACGGAGGGUGCGAGCGUUAAUCGGAAUUACUGGGCGUAAAGGGCGCGUAGGCGGUGGGUUACGUCUGCCGUGAAAUCCCCGGGCUCAACCUGGGAAUGGCGGUGGAAACGGGCUGACUGGAGUAUGGGAGAGGGUGAUGUAAUUCCAGGUGUAGCGGUGAAAUGCGUAGAGAUCUGGAGGAACACCAGUGGCGAAGGCGGUCACCUGGCCCAAUACUGACGCUGAGGAGCGAAAGCGUGGGGAGCGAACAGG
Molecule: ribosomal RNA, 253 nt
Filed under: uncultured bacterium
Lineage: Bacteria
Description: partial 16S ribosomal RNA
Rfam family: Bacterial small subunit ribosomal RNA
Source: RNAcentral